AAAAUGUAUUAUUUUUUUUCAUUUUUAAUUAUUUGAAUAUGUAUAUUUGCUUAUAAAUUUAAUUAGGUAUGUUUCUACAUUGUAUAAUAUGAAUUUUGCCGGGUUGCCAAAAAACUGUACAGGAAGGCUAACUGUGGUAAUUUAUUUUUUCUGCUGUGCAUUUUGCUGUUUUGUGAGCACGACGGUAAUGUGGUGCGUUAUCCGUAAUUACCUGCAGAGAUUGCGUAUCGAUAACGCACCGGCACUGUCAACUGUAUAAACAGUUGUAGUUCGACCGCCGACGUGCUCGCCGAAAAGAGACGUGUUUUUGAAACACGAUAUUACAAAAUAAAUAUUCUUUUCUGUGUACCAAAACUUUGUUUCAAUUCUAUUAUCUGGCGACUGAUCCUUAGAAAUACCCAAAAUUACAAUAUUUCAACACACGGUGGGAAUUGAAACUUUUAUAUGUUUAUGAAUGGUUGCCUUCGGUUGCAAUUAUAUAAUAUGUGAAUUAUUUAACAAAUCUAUGUAAAAUUACGUCAGUUUGUCAAUAAAAAUAAAUAAAAUAACCCCCAAAAUAUUUUAAUAUAUAAAUAUUAAAUACUCCUAAAAAUCCGGGAUGAUCAACUAUGACUAUUAUUACAAUAUUAGGUACACCGUACAGUGUAUACAUUUUUUUUUUACUACAAAGCUGUAAUAAUAUAGUGUAUAUUUUAUCUCACUCCUCACUGUGUCUGAAAUCUGCCACAGGAAGAUUGCCUACCUGAUAAUAUACUGUUUGCAUAACCAUAAUCGAAACUAAUGGAGAUUUUGUUUCCAUACCUAUGCAGAGCGAAUGAUACUCAAAAGGAGUAAAUUAAUCACAAUUUUUUUCACGGGCAACGCUGGGUUAUUCAGCUAGUAUGAAUAUAAUUUUGUAUAUAAUAUUCUAAUAAAUGUAUUAUAAUAUAUAUUUUUGUAGCAACCUUUAGUAAGUAUAUUUAUGUUUAUUGUCAUAUUUUUACUUUCCCUUGACAUGGAAUGGCCAGAUGACAAAUUAAAAAUUAUUGGUAAAUUAAAUUCUGUAUUGAAGGGACGGGUAUUUGAAAAUUUGUAUUGAAAAGUUGAAUGUGUUAUAACACUGCUAACGAAUGACGAAUGCAGCUUCACAUUUUUUCCUAAUACCUAAUAUUACAAACGUAUAAAUUAUGUGAAUGUUUUUCUAAAGAAAACACAUUUUCAUCAUUUCUUAUAACUAUUUAUUAUAGGUUCCUUCAGAAUAAUGUUAUCUUUCUAUCUUGUAUUAAUAAUGGGGUCUAAACUAUUCGUUCUUGUCCACAAGCACCUUAAAUUUCAGUUGUACAUGUCCACAUAUCGUUUUGACUUUUUCAAGGAUGACGUUUUCAUUUAUUAAUUAGAUUUAUUAUAUGUACCAUAAUAUUAGAAUAAUAAAUUAAUUAUUUAAGAUUAGAGUAACAUUUUAUAAAAGUCUGAUAUUUUUUUUUUACCCACAAAAUCUAAAUUAAUCUUUAAUCAUAGUGUAAUCCAUUGUACACUAUUCUAACCAAUUAAACAUUAUCAUUUGCAGGUGCGAAAAUAUACGAGAAUAUGACGACCUUUGUAGAAAAUACAGGUAGUACGCAUUAUUUAAUAAUUUUUAAUACAGUAGAACUUCGAUUAACCGUCACUCGAUUAACCGUCACUCUCUGUUAUCCGUCAUCGG
Long non-coding RNA from Acyrthosiphon pisum (pea aphid), 1681 nucleotides. RefSeq lists it as uncharacterized. The record is from RefSeq and is a predicted model, not a curated record. Lineage: Eukaryota; Metazoa; Arthropoda; Insecta; Hemiptera; Aphididae. The transcript has 4 exons.